AAUGGCCGGCGAUGAUGUCAGGCGAGAUUCAUGUUCAAUGUAGGGGUGGGCGAUAUAUCGAAUAUACUCGAUGUAUCUCGAGUUUUCCUUGCCGCGAUAUUGAAAAUGGCUUUAUCGCGACCAUCGCGUGCAAAUUGUCACGGCAAGAUUGAGCCGCUGUAUUGAAUUCACUGUGAGUUUAGUUUCUCCCACAUUCUGUGAACGCAUCAUGCGCUCCGCCUCCAAGGCCAGAGAGCGCUCUUGCGCAGACACGCGCGUUGACGAGACAGCGAGAACCAUGGCGACAGCGCGGCGUUUCAGGCAGUGGUUUGGAUUUCACAAGAAGGAGGUCGAAGAAAACGCGGUAAAGCUUGGAUUGGAAAAAUCUGAGUUGCAACUCAGAGGGCCAAGAUGACUUUGGAGGAGCUGCAGAGAUCCACACCUCAGAUUUUCUCCUUUUGGAGGAUUCCAUCUUUUUCCAAUCAGUGACAGAGGAUGCUUAAUAUCUUGG
Long non-coding RNA from Fundulus heteroclitus (mummichog), 490 nucleotides. RefSeq lists it as uncharacterized. The record is from RefSeq and is a predicted model, not a curated record. Lineage: Eukaryota; Metazoa; Chordata; Actinopteri; Cyprinodontiformes; Fundulidae. The transcript has 3 exons.